Molecule: ribosomal RNA, 494 nt
Filed under: uncultured bacterium
Lineage: Bacteria
Description: partial 16S ribosomal RNA
Rfam family: Bacterial small subunit ribosomal RNA
Source: RNAcentral
ACGAACGCUGGCGGCGUGCCUAAUACAUGCAAGUAGAACGCUGAAGGAGGAGCUUGCUUCUCUGGAUGAGUUGCGAACGGGUGAGUAACGCGUAGGUAACCUGCCUGGUAGCGGGGGAUAACUAUUGGAAACGAUAGCUAAUACCGCAUAAUAGCAGUUGUUGCAUGACAACUGUUUGAAAGGUGCAAUUGCACCACUACCAGAUGGACCUGCGUUGUAUUAGCUAGUUGGUGGGGUAACGGCUCACCAAGGCGACGAUACAUAGCCGACCUGAGAGGGUGAUCGGCCACACUGGGACUGAGACACGGCCCAGACUCCUACGGGAGGCAGCAGUAGGGAAUCUUCGGCAAUGGACAGAAGUCUGACCGAGCAACGCCGCGUGAGUGAAGAAGGUUUUCGGAUCGUAAAGCUCUGUUGUAAGAGAAGAACGAGUGUGAGAGUGGAAAGUUCACACUGUGACGGUAUCUUACCAGAAAGGGACGGCUAACUACGUG